This 491-nucleotide ribosomal RNA is filed under the name uncultured bacterium. RNAcentral describes it as "partial 16S ribosomal RNA". It matches the Rfam family "Bacterial small subunit ribosomal RNA", at positions 29 to 507 of the family's 1533-position model. The record is from RNAcentral.
AGUGAACGCUGGCGGUAGGCCUAACACAUGCAAGUCGAACGGCAGCACAGUAAGAGCUUGCUCUUACGGGUGGCGAGUGGCGGACGGGUGAGGAAUACAUCGGAAUCUACUUUUUCGUGGGGGAUAACGUAGGGAAACUUACGCUAAUACCGCAUACGACCUACGGGUGAAAGCAGGGGAUCUUCGGACCUUGCGCGAUUGAAUGAGCCGAUGUCGGAUUAGCUAGUUGGCGGGGUAAAGCCCACCAAGGCGACGAUCCGUAGCUGGUCUGAGAGGAUGAUCAGCCACACUGGAACUGAGACACGGUCCAGACUCCUACGGGAGGCAGCAGUGGGGAAUAUUGGACAAUGGGCGCAAGCCCGAUCCAGCCAUACCGCGUGGGUGAAGAAGGCCUUCGGGUUGUAAAGCCCUUUUGUUGGGAAAGAAAAGCAGCAGGUUAAUACCCCGCUGUUCUGACGGUACCCAAAGAAUAAGCACCGGCUAACUUCGUG